Mytilus trossulus (common blue mussel) is the source of this 2063-nucleotide long non-coding RNA. RefSeq lists it as uncharacterized. The record is from RefSeq and is a predicted model, not a curated record. The transcript is spliced from 4 exons. NCBI's taxonomy places the organism in Eukaryota, Metazoa, Mollusca, Bivalvia, Mytilida, Mytilidae.
UUUUCAUUGGUUUGGAGUUUUUAGACCCUUCAUUGUUGACCAGUGGAAAACUUCCCGCCGAAGUGUUUCAAAUAGCACUUUGUCUUCAAACGAACAAGAUGGACACAUGCAGUUUACAGAAGCAAAAGAUUUGAUUUGAACUGUUCGUGAAACCACACAUACUCAAGAGAAUUUACAAGACUAUUAUCCACAAAAUGCAACAGUCUUAUUUUGAUGAAUUGUUGAACCAGAGAAAUGUGAAGACUUACAGACACCUAGACUGUAUAGUCAACAUAACAAUGAUUAGAGAAUCAGACUACAGUGAACAUUACAAUGAUUAGAAAAUCAGACUAGAGUCAACAUUACAAUGAUUAGAGAAUCAGACUAUAGUCAACAUUACAAUGAUUAGAAAAUCAGCCAGCUGCAUUUCAUCAAUCAGUUUAUGAUGAAGCUUUACAGCAUUGGAAAUGAUUACUCAGGGACCAAACAACUGAGUAGAAAGAAGAACCGUAUGACCUUGAAGAGUAAGCAAUGUAUUAAGUAUAUUUGGGGUUACCAAAGAGUAUGGUAAGAACCUCAUCUUAAAUUAUACUUGAUUGCAGCAGUGGGAUGUUACAGUCAUAGACGUUGGAUAGACUCCGUUGUACUAGGCCAGGGAGGGUAGCGCAGAGUUUCCGCAGCACUAUACAAUAGUAGCAAGAUCACUCUACCAUGAGCUUGUUAAAGGGCCCGUUUGAUGAAAGUGACACCAACGUUCUCCACAACACUACAGAUUUGUUUUUGCAGAUGCAGCCGAGAGGAUGUUUCAGUCAUGGACUCAUUUGAUGGAAGUGGCACCAACAUUCUCAAACACUAAUAAUUUACAAAUUUGUUUUUGUUGUAGAUGCAACCUCAGUCAUACACCCUAGAGUUUGGCUAUGUUGUGACAGAAGAAGAGUGGCAUAUAGACUUCUGUAUGUCCAUUUUUAUGGAAGUGACAAAUUACUAAUCUUUCUUCUUAUAUCCAUUUCAGAGUUCUUACAAAGAUGCAUAGGUAUAAAAUAUUUAUUAUUUUUUGUCUUUUGGUGUAUUUUUGUCAAUGAGUUAAAACCCAAAGAACAGUACAUCGAUCAGAAGUAAUAAGUUUGACUAGUGUAAUUUGAGAGAGAACACUCUGGAACACAAAAAAUAUCCUAUCUCAUAAAAAUUUAACACGACAUCUUAUUUUCACCUUUUUUCAUUGAAGCAGCACACAGUGUAGUCAAGAAUGUAUGCAUGUCCUUGAACUUCUAGAAAUACAAUACCUCUAAUAGUUAAAACAGUCUGGUAUAAUGGUCAACAAGAGCUACAUAAAAAAAAGGAAGAUACCAAAGUUAAAUUAAAAAAAUAUGUAUUUAAUUUUUGAAAUUUACCUCAAAGAAAAUAAAAUAAAGUUUAAUUGAUUUUUUUCUUAUAUGUGUAAUGUUGUAUAUGUAUUUUUAUUUCAUUUCAGAGUUCAACAACAGAUUAUUAAUUCUAUUAUUUUGUUUUUCGCAGAUUGCAGCAGUGGGAUGUUACAGUCAUAGACGUUGGAUAGACUCCGUUGUACUAGGCCAGGGAGGGUAGCGCAGAGUUUCCGCAGCACUAUACAAUAGUAACAAGAUCACUCUACCAUGAGCUUGUUAAAGGGCCCGUUUGAUGAAAGUGACACCAACGUUCUCCACAACACUACAGAUUUGUUUUUGCAGAUGCAGCCGAGAGGAUGUUUCAGUCAUGGACUCAUUUGAUGGAAGUGGCACCAACAUUCUCAAACACUAAUAAUUUACAAAUUUGUUUUUGUUGUAGAUGCAACCUCAGUCAUACACCCUAGAGUUUGGCUAUGUUGUGACAGAAGAAGAGUGGCAUGUAGAUUUCUUUUAUGGAAGUGCAAAUAACUAAUCUUUCUUCUUCAUAUCUAUUUCAGAGUUCUUACGAAGAUGUAUAGGUAUGCAGUAUUUAUUAUUUUUGUCUCUGUGUAUUUUUGUCAAUGAGGUAAAACCACAGAACAAAUCAAUCAGAAGUAUUAACUGGUGUAAUUUGAGAACACCCUGGAACACGAGAAAUAUCCUACCUCACAAAAUUUAACA